This 24-nucleotide non-coding RNA is filed under the name Arabidopsis thaliana (thale cress). The record is from RNAcentral. Lineage: Eukaryota; Viridiplantae; Streptophyta; Magnoliopsida; Brassicales; Brassicaceae.
AGGUCCCUGAGAAGGGUGGUCGCA